This 253-nucleotide ribosomal RNA is filed under the name uncultured bacterium. RNAcentral describes it as "partial 16S ribosomal RNA". It matches the Rfam family "Bacterial small subunit ribosomal RNA", at positions 524 to 776 of the family's 1533-position model. The record is from RNAcentral.
UACAGAGGGUGCGAGCGUUAAUCGGAAUUACUGGGCGUAAAGGGCGCGUAGGUUGUUUAUUAAGAUUGAUGUGAAAUCCCUGGGCUUAACCUAGGAACGGCAUCGAUGACUGGUAGACUAGAGUACUGUAGAGGGUAGUGGAAUUUCCGGUGUAGCGGUGAAAUGCGUAGAGAUCGGAAGGAACACCGGUGGCGAAGGCGGCUACCUGGACAGAGAUUGACACUGAGGCGCGAGAGCGUGGGGAGCAAACAGG